GACGAACGCUGGCGGCGUGCUUAACACAUGCAAGUCGAACGAAGAUAUGUUGAAAGCUUGCUGAUACAUAUUUUAGUGGCGGACGGGUGAGUAACGCGUGAGGACUUGUCUAGUACAGGGGGACAACAGUUGGAAACGGCUGCUAAUACCCCAUAAGCCUAAGGGUAAAAGGCGCAAUCCGGUACAUGAGAGACUCGCGGCCUAUCAGCUAGUAGGUGGGGUAACGGCCCACCUAGGCGAAGACGGGUAGCCGGCCUGAGAGGGCGAACGGCCACAACGGAACGGAGACACGGUCCAGACUCCUACGGGAGGCAGCAGUGAGGAAUAUUGAGCAAUGGAGGGAACUCUGACCCAGCGACGCCGCGUGAGUGAAGAAAUCCCUCGGGAUGUAAAGCUCUGUUGUGUGGGAAGAUAAGGACGGUACCACACGAGGAAGCCCCGGCAAACUACGUGCCAGCCGCCGCGGUAA
This 469-nucleotide ribosomal RNA is filed under the name uncultured bacterium. Its description in RNAcentral is "partial 16S ribosomal RNA". It matches the Rfam family "Bacterial small subunit ribosomal RNA", at positions 28 to 523 of the family's 1533-position model. The record is from RNAcentral.